This 83-nucleotide transfer RNA is filed under the name Bemisia tabaci. It matches the Rfam family "tRNA". From Rfam's summary of the family: Transfer RNA (tRNA) molecules are approximately 80 nucleotides in length. Their secondary structure includes four short double-helical elements and three loops (D, anti-codon, and T loops). RNAcentral also lists the same sequence under 1 other name. The record is from Rfam by way of RNAcentral. Lineage: Eukaryota; Metazoa; Arthropoda; Insecta; Hemiptera; Aleyrodidae.
GUCAGGUUGGCCGAGCGGUCUAAGGCGCCAGAUUUAAGCUCUGGUUCACAGUGUGAGCGUGGGUUCGAACCCCACACCUGACA